Molecule: RNA transcript, 1524 nt
Organism: Selaginella moellendorffii
Lineage: Eukaryota; Viridiplantae; Streptophyta; Lycopodiopsida; Selaginellales; Selaginellaceae
Exons: 12
Source: RefSeq, a predicted model, not a curated record
GUAUUUGGCCAUGAGCAAUGGCUUGGGGUGUAAUGCUGUGCUCUCGCAUCCAUUCUGUCCAGAGGUUUGCGAUGCCGUCGAGGAGCUAUCGUCCCAUUUCUCGCGAGUGGAUUGCCUUGUGGCUUCCAACAUGAGGCGCGUCCUCGGGGCCUAUGCAAAUGCGCGCAUUGGGUCGCAACACUUCAGUGGCUCUACCGGCUAUGGCCACAAUGACGCUGGUGGCAGAGAGGCGUUUGAUAAGGCUUUUGCCGAGAUCUUCCGCGCUGAAGCAGCGAUCGUGAGGCCACAGGUGCUUGAUCUUUAUAGCUUUCUUUUCGUUUCACUGCUUUCGAACUCUUUCAAUGGGUGGGUGUGUGUGUGUUUUUCACAGUUUUUCUCAGGAACUCACGCGAUCGCUUCAGCUCUUUAUGCUGUUCUCCGGCCGGGUGACGAGUUGUUGUCCGUGGCAGGAGCGCCUUAUGAUACACUCGAGGAAGUUAUUGGCUUGCGAGGAUCAAAAGGCCAUGGAUCGCUCAAAGAAUUUGGGAUCAGCUACCGCGAAGUGCCAGUUACUGCUAAAGGUUGUCUUGACAAAACUGCGUUGGCAACAUCUGUAACAAAGAAGACACAAUGUGCCUUCAUCCAAAGAUCCUGCGGCUACUCGUGGCGAGAGACCUUGUCAAUAUCUGACAUUCAAGCCGCAGUCACUCUCAUCAAGGACCAAAAUCCAAACUGCGUGGUAAUGGUUGACAACUGCUAUGGAGAGUUCGUAGAGACCGUAGAGCCUACUGCCGUGGGAGCUGAUAUCGUCGCUGGAAGCUUGAUAAAAAAUCCCGGUGGCACAAUCGCUCCUUGUGGAGGAUACGUCGUUGGAAAGACCGAGCUUGUUGCAGCGGCUGCUGCUCGGCUCUCUGCUCCAGGCAUUGGAAUUGAUGCCGGGUCGGCCUCUGGUGAUAUCAUGCGUUUGCUGGUGCAAGGACUCUUCCUAGCACCUCAAAUGGUCGGGGAAGCCAUCAAGGGUACACUGCUUGUAGCUGAAGUUCUAGCUAAAGAAGGCUACAAAGUCAGGCCGUCACAACGUGCCAAACGCUACGACACGAUACAGGCUGUAGAACUGGGAAGCCGAGAGCGGCUACUAGCAUUUUGUGCCGCUGUUCAGCAAUGUUGCCCGGUUGGAGCAUAUAUUAAACCCACCGCUGGCGUGACCCCUGGCUAUGAGUCCGAGGUUGUAUUUGCUGAUGGAACUUUCAUAGAUGGAAGCACGAGUGAGCUCUCCUGCGAUGGUCCUUUGAGGGAGCCUUUCAUCGUCUUUUGUCAGGGUGGCACUCACUGGACUCACUGGGCUCUCACACUGGAGAAAGUUUUGCAAGCACUAAAAAAAGCUUGAUCUGAUCACAAGAAGCACGCACCUUGCAAAAGAACACUCUGACAGCGAAAUGGUUGCUCAACAAAUGCUCGGGAUCCCCUGGUUGACAACAAACAACAUAUAGUACGCCUGCGGAGCCAAGUUCCCGGUGGGAGGUCCCGUCCCGGUUACGGUGUAAG